This 253-nucleotide ribosomal RNA is filed under the name uncultured bacterium. Its description in RNAcentral is "partial 16S ribosomal RNA". It matches the Rfam family "Bacterial small subunit ribosomal RNA", at positions 524 to 776 of the family's 1533-position model. The record is from RNAcentral.
UACGUAGGUGGCAAGCUUUGUCCGGAAUUAUUGGGCGUAAAGCGCGCGCAGGUGGUUCCUUAAGUCUGAUGUGAAAGCCCACGGCUCAACCGUGGAGGGUCAUUGGAAACUGGGAAACUUGAGUGCAGAAGAGGAAAGUGGAAUUCCAAGUGUAGCGGUGAAAUGCGUAGAGAUUUGGAGGAACACCAGUGGCGAAGGCGACUUUCUGGUCUGUAACUGACACUGAGGCGCGAAAGCGUGGGGAGCAAACAGG